CCUACGGGAGGCAGCAGUGAGGAAUAUUGGUCAAUGGGCGGAAGCCUGAACCAGCCAAGUCGCGUGAGGGAUUAAGGCCCUGCGGGUCGUAAACCUCUUUUGCCGGGGAGCAGUGGUCCGGACUCGUCCGGACCGGGAGAGUACCCGGAGAAAAAGCAUCGGCUAACUCCGUGCCAGCAGCCGCGGUAAUACGGAGGAUGAGAGCGUUAUCCGGAUUUAGUGGGUUUAAAGGGUGCGUAGGUGGGCAUUUAAGCCGGCGGUCAAAUGUCGGGGCUCAACCCCGGCCUGCCGUCGGAACUGGGUGCCAUGAGUGGGCGAGAAGUAUGCGGAAUGCGUGGUGUAGCGGUGAAAUGCAUAGAUAUCACGAAGAACCCCGAUUGCGAAGGCAGCCUGCCGCAGCGUUACUGACGCUGAAGCUCGAAAGCGCGGGUAUCGAACAGGAUUAGAUACCCGUGUAGUC
RNAcentral lists this ribosomal RNA (460 nucleotides) under uncultured bacterium. RNAcentral describes it as "partial 16S ribosomal RNA". It matches the Rfam family "Bacterial small subunit ribosomal RNA", at positions 338 to 795 of the family's 1533-position model. The record is from RNAcentral.